RNAcentral lists this ribosomal RNA (560 nucleotides) under Penicillium granulatum. Its description in RNAcentral is "eukaryotic LSU rRNA". The stretch from base 180 to 332 matches the Rfam family "5.8S ribosomal RNA". Lineage: Eukaryota; Fungi; Ascomycota; Eurotiomycetes; Eurotiales; Aspergillaceae. The record is from RNAcentral.
UUACCGAGUGAGGGCCCUCUGGGUCCAACCUCCCACCCGUGUUUAUUUUACCUUGUUGCUUCGGCGGGCCCGCCUUAACUGGCCGCCGGGGGGCUUACGCCCCCGGGCCCGCGCCCGCCGAAGACACCCUCGAACUCUGUCUGAAGAUUGUAGUCUGAGUGAAAAUAUAAAUUAUUUAAAACUUUCAACAACGGAUCUCUUGGUUCCGGCAUCGAUGAAGAACGCAGCGAAAUGCGAUACGUAAUGUGAAUUGCAAAUUCAGUGAAUCAUCGAGUCUUUGAACGCACAUUGCGCCCCCUGGUAUUCCGGGGGGCAUGCCUGUCCGAGCGUCAUUGCUGCCCUCAAGCACGGCUUGUGUGUUGGGCCCCGUCCUCCGAUCCCGGGGGACGGGCCCGAAAGGCAGCGGCGGCACCGCGUCCGGUCCUCGAGCGUAUGGGGCUUUGUCACCCGCUCUGUAGGCCCGGCCGGCGCUUGCCGAUCAACCCAAAUUUUUAUCCAGGUUGACCUCGGAUCAGGUAGGGAUACCCGCUGAACUUAAGCAUAUCAAUAAGGCGGAGGAA